RNAcentral lists this ribosomal RNA (468 nucleotides) under uncultured bacterium. RNAcentral's name for it is "partial 16S ribosomal RNA". It matches the Rfam family "Bacterial small subunit ribosomal RNA", at positions 28 to 507 of the family's 1533-position model. The record is from RNAcentral.
GACGAACGCUGGCGGCGUGCUUAAUACAUGCAAGUCGAACGGAAAGACCCUGCUCUUGUGGGGUGCUCGAUUGGCGAACGGGUGAGUAACACGCGAGUAACCUGCCCUUGACUUUGUGAUAACUUCUGGAAACUGGGGCUCAUACCCCAUAGAAUCUCCUGCAGCAUGGUGGGGGUUGGAAAGUUCCGGCGGUUGGGGAUGGACUGGCGGCUUAUCAGCUUGUUUGUGGGGUAGUGGCUUACGAAGGCUUUGACGGAUAGCCGGCCUGAGAGGGUUACCGGGCACAUUAGUACUGAGAUAGGGACCAGACUGCAACGGGAGGCAGUAGUGGAGAGUAUGACGCAGUGAGCGGGCGCGUGAUGCAGCAACGCCGCGUGCGGGAUAACGGCUUACGAGUUAUAAACCGAUUUCGAAUGAAACGAGGAGUGAGUGACGGUAAUGAGUAAAGAAGCCACGGCUAACUACGUG